Molecule: ribosomal RNA, 440 nt
Filed under: uncultured bacterium
Lineage: Bacteria
Description: bacterial SSU rRNA
Rfam family: Bacterial small subunit ribosomal RNA
Source: RNAcentral
CCUACGGGAGGCUGCAGUAAGGAAUAUUGGUCAAUGGACGAAAGUCUGAACCAGCCAUGCCGCGUGCAGGAUGACUGCCCUAUGGGUUGUAAACUGCUUUUAUAUAGGAAGAAAAACUUUCUCGUGAGAAAGCUUGACGGUACUAUAAGAAUAAGGAUCGGCUAACUCCGUGCCAGCAGCCGCGGUAAUACGGAGGAUCCAAGCGUUAUCCGGAAUCAUUGGGUUUAAAGGGUCCGUAGGUGGACAAAUAAGUCAGAGGUGAAAUCCUGCAGCUCAACUGUAGAACUGCCUUUGAUACUGUUUGUCUUGAGUUAUUAUGAAGUGGUUAGAAUGUGUAGUGUAGCGGUGAAAUGCAUAGAUAUUACACAGAAUACCGAUUGCGAAGGCAGAUCACUAAUAAUCAACUGACACUGAUGGACGAAAGCGUGGGUAGCGAACAG